GAGGAGGCGAUGAUGCUGAGAACUACCUAUUUUCUGAUGGAAACUCAUUCCUCAGUGAUUACAAAACUUACCAAUGGAUCCUUCUGAGCCCUCUC
This 95-nucleotide small nucleolar RNA is filed under the name Eucalyptus grandis. Lineage: Eukaryota; Viridiplantae; Streptophyta; Magnoliopsida; Myrtales; Myrtaceae. The record is from RNAcentral.